Oncorhynchus tshawytscha (Chinook salmon) is the source of this 476-nucleotide long non-coding RNA. Lineage: Eukaryota; Metazoa; Chordata; Actinopteri; Salmoniformes; Salmonidae. The record is from Ensembl.
UGGCAGGCAAAGAUCCUUGAAGUCCUAGUAUUAAUUGAGCUUUGUGUUAUGUUCAUUUCACUGAUCUUGGAUAAUGGACAGUCUGGAUGUCUUCACCUGGCCGAUUCCUCUGAAUGUCAGGCUUGAAGGAGAGGUCUAUGCCCUGUACCCCACCAUGCCCCUGUGACUCACAGUCAACUCAGUCACAAAGGCUCCCCCACCAUGCCCCUGUGACUCACAGUCAACUCAGUCACAAAGGCACCCCCACCAUGCCCCUGUGACUCACAGUCAACUCAGUCACAAAGGUUCCCCCACCAUGCCCCUGUGACUCACAGUCAACUCAGUCACAAAGGCUCCCCCACCAUGCCCCUGUGACUCACAGUCAACUCAGUCACAAAGGCUCCCCCACCAUGCCCCUGUGACUCACAGUCAACUCAGUCACAAAGGCUCCCCCACCAUGCCCCUGUGACUCACAGUCAACUCAGUCACAAAGGUUC